This 1350-nucleotide ribosomal RNA is filed under the name uncultured bacterium. RNAcentral describes it as "bacterial SSU rRNA". It matches the Rfam family "Bacterial small subunit ribosomal RNA", at positions 28 to 1381 of the family's 1533-position model. The record is from RNAcentral.
GAUGAACGCUGGCGGCGUGCUUAACACAUACAAGUCGAACGGAACGUAACCGAGGAAAUUUUUCGAAGUGGAAUCGGUUACGUUUAGUGGCGGACGGGUGCGUAACACGUGGGCAACCUGCCCUGCUUUUCGGAAUAACGCCGGGAAACCGUCGCUAAUGCCGAAUGAUAUGAGGAGAAGGCAUCUUCUUUUCAUCAAAGAAUUUCGAAGCAGGAUGGGCCCGCGCCGGAUUAGCUGGUUGGUGAGGUAACGGCUCACCAAGGCGACGAUCCGUAGCCGACCUGAGAGGGUGAUCGGCCACACUGGAACUGAGACACGGUCCAGACUCCUACGGGAGGCAGCAGUGGGGAAUAUUGCACAAUGGGCGAAAGCCUGAUGCAGCAACGCCGCGUGAGCGAUGAAGGCUUUCGAGUCGUAAAGCUCUGUCGCAGGGGAAGAAAAAGACGGUACCCUGUGAGAAAGCCCCGGCUAACUACGUGCCAGCAGCCGCGGUAAUACGUAGGGGGCAAGCGUUAUCCGGAAUUACUGGGCGUAAAGGGUGCGUAGGCGGCUUUUCAAGUCAGGCUUAAAGGCUAACGGCUCAACCGUAGUAAGGCCUUGAAACUGGAGAGCUUGAGUAUCGGAGAGGAAAGUGGAAUUCCCAGUGUAGCGGUGAAAUGCGUAGAUAUUGGGAGGAACACCAGUGGCGAAGGCGACUUUCUGGACGAUGACUGACGCUGAGGCACGAAAGCGUGGGGAGCAAACAGGAUUAGAUACCCUGGUAGUCCACGCCGUAAACGAUGAGUACUAGGUGUCAGGUGUCAAAGCUUGGUGCCGCAGUUAACACAGUAAGUACUCCGCCUGGGGAGUACGCUCGCAAGAGUGAAACUCAAAGGAAUUGACGGGGACCCGCACAAGUAGCGGAGCAUGUGGUUUAAUUCGAAGCAACGCGAAGAACCUUACCUAAGCUUGACAUCCCGUUGACCGGGGCUUAAUCGCCCCUUUCCCUUCGGGGACAAUGGAGACAGGUGGUGCAUGGUUGUCGUCAGCUCGUGUCGUGAGAUGUUGGGUUAAGUCCCGCAACGAGCGCAACCCUUGUUUUUAGUUGCCAGCGGUUUGGCCGGGCACUCUAAAAAGACUGCCGAGGAUAACUCGGAGGAAGGUGGGGAUGACGUCAAAUCAUCAUGCCCCUUAUGCUUAGGGCUACACACGUGCUACAAUGGCUGUUACAAAGGGCCGCGAGGCCGCAAGGCGGAGCCAAUCCCAUAAAAACAGUCUCAGUUCGGAUUGCAGGCUGAAACUCGCCUGCAUGAAGUCGGAGUUACUAGUAAUCGCGAAUCAGCAUGUCGCGGUGAAUGCGUUCCCGGGUCU